Long non-coding RNA from Oreochromis aureus, 910 nucleotides. The record is from Ensembl. Lineage: Eukaryota; Metazoa; Chordata; Actinopteri; Cichliformes; Cichlidae.
AGUGAUUGUAGUGUGUGUGUUACACUGUCCUCAUAUUGUUUUAAGCUGUGAAGGACAUGAGUGUGUUUCAGUUGCCUUCCUCAUGUGGUUGGAUCAACAACUCUAGUGUGUGUUACACUGUCCUCAUAUUGUUGGUAGCAGAACUGUACAGUGUUAAGUUUCUUUAGAAUCUGGUAUAAGGAAGUCGGAUCCUUCUGUAAUAAUGUUCACUGAUACAAAUAUGAUCUGUAGUUAAUUAUCUAGUCGGGAUUUAUACUAGAGAAUGUUUCUGACGUUAUAUUGUUGUCUUUUGUUGCAGACACCAAGUGCUGAGGUCCUGUCUCAGCCUCAUACUUACCCACUUCAUUCUUCCAACAGACACCAAGUGCUGAGGUCCUGUCUCAGCCUCAUACAGACCAAUCGACACCAAGUGCUGAGGUCCUGUCUCAGCCUCAUACAGACCAAUUGACACCAAGUGCUGAGGUCCUGUCUCAGCCUCAUACAGACCAAUCGACACCAAGUGCUGAGGUCCUGUCUCAGCCUCAUACAGACCAAUCGACACCAAGUGCUGAGGUCCUGUCUCAGCCUCAUACAGACCAAUCGACACCAAGUGCUGAGGUCCUGUCUCAGCCUCAUACAGACCAAUUGCUGGGAAGGUGAGAAGCAAGUGGACAAAUGAUGAAGUAAAGGUUGCUGCAAAGUACCAGGUAAAAGGAAUGUGACUGCUGCUUCCAAGCAGAGCCGGCAGCUCGUAAAGGCAGAGACUGGGUUGCCAUAAAGUACUACAUCCACAACAGGAUCAUUGCAUUAAAAGAAAGAUGCAAGGAAAAAAAGAAACAACCAAGAGAGAUACUUUGUUGCUUCCACAGUUAUGUCAAUAUUGUAGUUUUCUGUAUUGCAUUGUUCUUACUCAUAAAUCUGUGGUUUAUGC